UAAUAAGUGUUUUAUGGCACUUUGUUGUCCGACUCUGUUGCCUCCGGGGCGACCCUGCCUUCGGGCGGGGGCUCCGGGUGGACACUUCAAACUCUUGCGUAACUUUGCAGUCUGAGUAAACUUAAUUAAUAAAUUA
This 136-nucleotide unclassified non-coding RNA is filed under the name uncultured Cladosporium. RNAcentral's name for it is "sequence contains ITS1". The record is from RNAcentral. Lineage: Eukaryota; Fungi; Ascomycota; Dothideomycetes; Cladosporiales; Cladosporiaceae.